AUCUUUCCAACACUGAGAUGCUUCUGCCGAAGAGUAGAAUGGGAGUGAGGGGACACGCAAAACGGGCUGCUGCCGGAGGAAGAGGAACAGUGUUGUGGCUCAUGCCAUAUGAAUGGGCUCACUGGCCUGGCCCAGACCCUGACUGCCCACAGGAUCUUUGACAGAGAAACGGAGGCACAGAGAAGGAAGCGGCAGUUAAAGCUGCGAAGAACCUAACAAAUUUCAAGAUUGUAAGUGCCUUUUCCCAGGAUGCCAGCAAGUACUGAGGCAAGUAUGAUUGCCCUAGGUGCCAACUCUUAUUUGCACUUAACACAUUUACUUCCUCCUUCUUUCCCCCUCCUUUUUAUUAACUCUGUUGCUUUUACAGCCUGUAUUUUGAGCUGCAUCAAACCCUGUUGGAAUAAAAAAGGACAU
Molecule: long non-coding RNA, 414 nt
Filed under: Homo sapiens (human)
Lineage: Eukaryota; Metazoa; Chordata; Mammalia; Primates; Hominidae
Description: non-protein coding lnc-CKAP2L-1:6
Source: RNAcentral